GGGAGGGCGAGGGGAGGAGAAAGCGGCGCGCGGGGAGCCCGGCCGCGCUCAGCCGCUCCUCACCUGGGCCGCCGCCGCGCCGUUUCCGUGCUGUUGCUGCUGCUGCUGCUGCUGUUGCUGCUGCUGCAGAUACUCGCCGUGGCCGCCGCCGCCUCCGCCGCCGUCCACGUCCAAGAUAUGCCUGCUGCUCGUGGAAGGAAGAAGUGAGCACGGAAUCCCUUUGGAAUCCCAGAUGGUUAUGAGUUGCCACAGGGAUCAUGGAGAUUUGACUAAGGCGCAUGCCCACGUGGAGUCAGAAGACCACUCACAGGUUGAUCCUUUUGUUCCACAGUGUGAGUCGCAGAUAUCAAACUCAGGUGGCCAGGCC
This 367-nucleotide long non-coding RNA is filed under the name Mus pahari (shrew mouse). Its description in RNAcentral is "lncRNA (MGP_PahariEiJ_G0003301.1)". Lineage: Eukaryota; Metazoa; Chordata; Mammalia; Rodentia; Muridae. The record is from RNAcentral.